CUUAAGUGCCACCACAAAGAAUGGUCCCUUAACAAUCUACUCCAAAAGUCGCGAUUGAAACCGACAAUAUGGGUUUUCGAUCCAUGAUGUAUGGAGGAGUGCAGAAUGAGGGCCUAACAUAGAAACUUCCCAUGGUUCAUUUACACUUGAGCUUCUAUAUUCUUUUACUUUUGGUUUUUGUUGUUUUGCAAAAGGGGUUUUUGCGUAAGGAGGAAAAAAUUAAUAUUUAUACUUUAAAAGUAGAUGUAGUACAAGAAUGCGCUAAGAACUUGCUGUGAUUUCCUAAAGCUUUCUUUGAGAAGGUCUGCAGAGAUGUGGUCUGCGCACUGCUGUUUCAGUUACUAAGAUAGACCUAGCUGUUAUUGGCAUAUUGUAGCUUCAGUUCCUUGACUUUUGUCACUUGGAACUGGUUUUCUCAUUAUUUGGGAUAAUAUACUAUAGGCUGCUGGUAUGACAAGAUCAACACCCGAGAUAGGGGCACUUGAGCAUCUCCAAAAUAGCAAAUUCACUGGAAAGAGAACAACAAGAUGUCAAAUUUUUGUAAUGUUUCAGUCAUUUUUUAAAGAGGAAAGGAAUAAAAGGUUUAAU
Nicotiana tabacum (common tobacco) is the source of this 588-nucleotide non-coding RNA. Lineage: Eukaryota; Viridiplantae; Streptophyta; Magnoliopsida; Solanales; Solanaceae. The record is from RefSeq and is a predicted model, not a curated record.